UACGAAGGGGGGCUAGCGUUGCUCGGAAUGACUGGGCGUAAAGGGCGCGUAGGCGGAUGGCACAGUCAGAUGUGAAAUUCCCGGGCUUAACCUGGGGGCUGCAUUUGAUACGUGUUGUCUGGAGUGAGGAAGAGGGUCGUGGAAUUCCCAGUGUAGAGGUGAAAUUCGUAGAUAUUGGGAAGAACACCGGUGGCGAAGGCGGCGACCUGGUCCUUGACUGACGCUGAGGCGCGAAAGCGUGGGGAGCAAACAGG
RNAcentral lists this ribosomal RNA (254 nucleotides) under uncultured bacterium. RNAcentral's name for it is "partial 16S ribosomal RNA". It matches the Rfam family "Bacterial small subunit ribosomal RNA", at positions 524 to 776 of the family's 1533-position model. The record is from RNAcentral.